AUAUAUAUUUUAGAAGAUACUUUUAACUUCACUAUUUCGUUUCAUGUUAAUCUUAUAUAUAUUAUUACUAGUAUAACUAUAAGUUGUAACGUAAAUUAAGCAGUGAAUUAACACGUCGUUAGGCUAUUCUUUUGAGAUUCAUAUUCAUGACAUAAGGAGUCGACGAUGAUAAAAUAGAUCAACAGGUUCCUCUCGUAUUUUGUAACUAAUAACAAACUUGUGGUAACUAAACAAUAAAUUUCGGAUAUCUUCAGUUAUGGCGACAACAGCAGCGAAAAAACAAGAAGCAAAACUUGCAAAAAACUUGGCUCAUAAAACACACUUCACCAAGCAAGAAAUAGAGACACUGAUGAUAAAUUUCAAAAAAAUGACCAUGUCAAAAUUGGAGAGGACGAUGUUUCGUGAGAUUCUUCACAACACGUUCGAAAUGACAGAUGACAUUUUAAUGGACAGAAUCUUCCGGACAUUUGAUGCAGACAAUGAUGGUAUCAUUGAUUUUGGAGAAUGGGUAACUGGUCUUUCCAUUAUCUUGCGAGGAACUCAAGAUGAAAAGAUAGACUUUUGUUUUAAAGUCUAUGAUUUAACUGGAGAUAGAAUCAUCACCCGGGAAGAAAUGUUCCAUAUGUUAAAAAAUACAAUGGUUAGGCAGUUAGCUGAAGAGGAUCCUGAUGAGGGGAUCAAAGACUUGGUUGAUCUCACCCUUAAGAAAAUGGAUUAUGACCGCGAUGGACGGUUAUCAGCAGAUGACUUCAAAAGAUCUGUACAAGAAGAACCUCUUCUCCUUGAAGCAUUUGGGCCAUGCCUUCCUGAUGAUAAGGUUCGUGAAGCCUUUCUAGCUACUUUCACUCAAACAAAAAUGGACACAUCCGAUUCAUUAGGACUUUCCACACUCUAAAUCUGCAUGAAGGGUAGUAAACAUCAGGCACUUUUUGUGACUCUAACCCAUUCAACAAUACUUUUAGUACACUUCACCAUGCACCGUUCCAUUAUAUUGUUGUACUUUUAAGGUAUUUUCAGUUACUAUCAUUUAAAAUAAGUUUUGUAAACCAUGAUGCUCAUGGAUCCUUGAAAAAGGUGCAAGCCAAAGCAUUGGGUAGAAUAAAUAAAUGUUUAACAGAAGUUGUUUGUUGCAUUCUGAUAUUGAAAAUGGAAAAAAUUAUCCCUUGAAACUUUCGUACAUUUUAUUAAAAUAUGUUAGAAAACUAAAAAAAAGAACUUUCACAAACGGAAUGUUUUGUCAAAACUUUACCAACCAAAAUUACAUCUCAUAAUAGCUAGUUGUGUAGGUAACAAAACAUGUUAUUUGGAAAUGGAGAGAAGUAAUAAUAAUAAUUGUUUAACCUUUCCUAUUCUAGAAGCUUAAGCUUGUGUGGGUAUAAUAUAAUUCUUAAAUUUAAUAACAUUUUUUGACUAUUAAAUGUAUACACAAUGUUCAACUUAUUAUAGCAAUUGAUCUAACCAUUUUAUUUUUCAUAUUUCUGUCAAUUUACCUUUCUUUAUAUAAUUGGAGGUUUUUGUUUUUUUUUGCUAGUUUAAAACAAAAUUAUGACACUUUUUUUUAUAUAUAAAGCUGUUGCAGUUGAAAUAACCAACAUUUACAUACUUCUGUUUAAUUAGUUUAGGAUAUAUCUAUAGUCAGGCACAUUCAGUAAUUUUUCUAAAUUUUUGUGCAGGUGUUCUGCAUGUGGUUUUGACAUUCUUGUUAGUCAGAUGCCUAAAGGUUAUGAAUUUGUGCUAAUCUUUUUACUUAGGUAAGGAUUACAUACAGCAACAGCUAUCUCAUAAAAGCUUGUAUCAAGUUUGCCCUGUGUCCACUCCCUGGGUAGGGAGAAGCUCAUCUCAAAGGGCUUCACAGAUACUUGUACAAAUUGGUAUGAGCUGGGGGAGUCCUCUCCCUUGAAUAUGUUAUUUGGAAUAGUUGUGACACAAGUAACCCAAAGAUUUAUAAGAUAUCUCACUUGGACCUGUCUUCAACUUGAAAGUGCAGUAUCAUUCUUUCAGUCAUUGAUCUGUGCAAGUGUGAUAAUUCUUGCCAUCCUUUUCUGGUGCAGAUGUUUGUUUGGAAAAACCUCUCUAGUCUUAUCAGUUUGAGAACAAAUAAUUAGAAGCAGUUAGUAUGACUGGACCUGGUUGUGAGACCAUUCCUACAAUUAUGCCCAUCCAUGACUGUGUAGCAAACAUGCAGGUAUGAACAGUUCAAUACGACAUUGUAUGAAUGCACUUCAACUGAAGUUACAGUACAGCUAUUAAAAGAAGUUUAACGAUUAGCAUCCUGUACAUUUAUUCUUUUUCUAACUUUUAGCUGUUGAAAAAUACAAAAGUUAGUAUAACAAGUGCAUGGUAUGAAGUAUGCAUUUAUUAGGAUUUUAGUAGCAAUGGUAUUAGUUUGCUUGAUAGUAUAAGCAGUAAUGAUGUUUAAUAUUUAUUUGAUAUGUCCUUAAGUUAUUUGUAAUGGUGAAUAUUUCUGAAAAUUAACGUGGUGUGAUGCAUGAGUUAUUUAAUAUGUGCUUCGUAAUUGAUGAAGUAGUGGGAUAAAUAAACAUUUGACAGGCCCAUACCAUGUCCUAAACUAACAGCUAUAAGAACUACUUUACUAUAAUAGUAGUUGAACAUUUUUCUCUAAGUCUAGGCAAGAAAUUUCAUUUAAAAAAUAAGUUUGUGUAUUUUGAUUUUAAUAUUUGUCCAUUUGAAAUAUUUUUACAGUUCACUUUAUUUUCAGGACUUUGUUGUGGGAGUGUUUGCAGAGAAUGCAUUACUUUCAAGAUGGCACCUGUUAAAAUUGACGUGGCCAAAGUGCUGGCAUGGGAUUCUUGGCUUUAGGACAACUCUCAGCAUAUUGAACAAGUGCAUCUUAGUGAAUAGUUUAUGGUUUAUCUACUACACUGAAGAAAAACAUAGUUAAACACAUGAGAACUAGCAAGUUUCCCUUAAACACUGAUGAAGCAACUAAUGAUAACAUGAUGAGCGUUCUGGCAGUAUCAUAGUAUAAGGAAAUCCAAAAUUGUGUUGUAUUAAAUAAUUUGAUGUCUAUUAAUUCAACCACUGUAAACACUGAUUCUUUUCCCAAGGAAUUUUGUAAAAUAUUCCAGCAGAAUAUCAUUCCUAAGAAUAAUUACAUGUCUAUUCUGAAUGAUUCUUGUAGCUUUAUGUUGGGUUCUAAGAGUGAACUUGAAGAGAGACUUUGAGAUGAGAAGGCAAAUCACCUGCUCAACAUUGAUAGUGACAUGUGUCAUCAUGGACAUAAUGCUCGCAAAAAUUGGGUCACCCAUUUGAACACUGGGCUGAAUGACUAUAUACUAAUAUCCAUACAGACUUCUUUUAUGCUUGGAGUCAAAUUUACAAUGCCAGAAAAGUUAAUUUAAACAGAGAUGAUUUUCAUGAUGUAAAUUUACCCUUAGUAUGUCAGGAUCUGGGAUGUUUUAUCAAUAUUAUAUUUUGUUUUGUUUUUUUGUACCAGGGUGUACUGAAGGAGAGAGGUAAGAGGGGACAAAUCAGCUCAGGUAGUUGCAUAACACCCCUCAAAAGGAGGAAAUGACUCAGGAAGGACAGGCAAGUAAAAAUGGUUGUAAAACAAAUCUUCUACUGCAGGAAAUAAACAUACUUAAUCAUGAAAUACUGUCUCUGCUGAAACAGUACAUGUGCAAGUUUGAGAUGAACAUUUUUUUGGUUCACAAACUGAACCAUAAACAAGUUAAGCUAUUUGGAGAAUUCUUCUUAUAGUUUCUCAAAUUCUAUCUAAAGAAUGACAAGAAAUUUGAUACUGCUAAUAAGUCCAACUGGCUUUCUUCAAAAAGCAUCUUUAUUGGUGCAACGUGUUCAGCUAUUAUUGUAUCUUCUACAAACCCAUGACUCCACUGUGAAGUACCUUAGAGAGGAAUGUGAGAAGACAUACCCAAAUUGUGCUAAAUACCUUCAAGGGAAAGAGAAACUUCCUCUAAACAAAGAAGUGUUGAGGUGUGCUUCAAAAAUUGGUCUCUCAUGCCACAAAUACUCCAAGACACUAAAGAGACUCCGGACUCUACCCAAAGUUAUGAAGAAUGUUUCAGAAGCAGAGGAUUAAUACCAAGGAAGUGCCAUCUAUAUCAGGUUUCUCAAAACCUGCCCUGGGUACUAACGGGGAUGUGUGGUGGAGCCAUAUUUAUCAGAAGGGCAUUAUUUAAUACAGAACUACCUCAUGAGUUUCUUUCAUGACCCAGCUGUGGAAAGUAGUUUCAGCACAAUGACAAAUAUUAAGACUGUAAGUCAGGAAAUAUGAACAUUCUGCAAUUCAGACAGCCAAAUAUAACCUUAGAUCACAAUGCAAGUCUGCUAUGGAAGUUUUUCAAGAGAAAGAACAUUUAAUCCUCCUGUAGAUUGAUAUAUGUAAAGGUAAUGUGAGUGCGAAGAGAAGGUAAAAGGAACGUCUGGAAGAAAAGAAGAGAAAACGGAAAAACUUUCAAAGAAUCAGUUUAACCUUGAAUCUAAAGCCCAAGCCAAGAGAUGGACAAACUUAGCUGGCUUUAAGAUAUCAAUUUUAUUUAUUUUAUAGUUUUAUUUCAGUUUAGAGGAUGGGACAGCCGAGAUGGACCAAUAGGUUAUAUUAAAACAAGAAGAAAGGAAAGGCACAUAAACAAAAGGUGUUGGCCAGACUCCUAAACACAGUUAAGAAAAGAAAAAAAAUCAGAAGUGAAUGAUCAGAAACUUGUGAAUGAUUUUUUAAUUGAUUAGGCCUAAAGCACAACUGAACAGUAUGCAUUAUCACAUCAAGUUUUGACUUGCUAGUAUUUUACUACUAUUUUGUGCCUCUAUUUGCUCAAUGUUGGUUAUAUAUUUUAUAAUUUUAGACUUGUUACAGAAAUUGAAUGAUGUAUGGGUUGGUGUUUAAACUGUGUAAAAUGCAGUUGCCACAUUGUGAAACUGAUCAAGUCAUUUUGUUUGCUAAUAUUGGCAAAAUAAUUAAAGUUCAACAGUGACUGUUGUUCUGUAUUAAUUUUUACUUAAUU
RNA transcript from Limulus polyphemus (Atlantic horseshoe crab), 4982 nucleotides. It is a transcript of the gene named EF-hand calcium-binding domain-containing protein 1-like, with no coding region annotated. The record is from RefSeq and is a predicted model, not a curated record. Lineage: Eukaryota; Metazoa; Arthropoda; Merostomata; Xiphosura; Limulidae. The transcript has 10 exons.